RNAcentral lists this ribosomal RNA (497 nucleotides) under uncultured bacterium. RNAcentral describes it as "partial 16S ribosomal RNA". It matches the Rfam family "Bacterial small subunit ribosomal RNA", at positions 28 to 507 of the family's 1533-position model. The record is from RNAcentral.
GAUGAACGCUGGCGGCGUGCCUAAUACAUGCAAGUCGAACGCAUAGCGAAAGGUGCUUGCACCUUUCAAGUGAGUGGCGAACGGGUGAGUAACACGUGGACAACCUGCCUCAAGGCUGGGGAUAACAUUUGUAAACAGAUGCUAAUACCGAAUAAAACUUAGUGUCGCAUGACACAAAGUUAAAAGGCGCUUCGGCGUCACCUAGAGAUGGAUCCGCGGUGCAUUAGUUAGUUGGUGGGGUAAAGGCCUACCAAGACAAUGAUGCAUAGCCGAGUUGAGAGACUGAUCGGCCACAUUGGGACUGAGACACGGCCCAAACUCCUACGGGAGGCUGCAGUAGGGAAUCUUCCACAAUGGGCGAAAGCCUGAUGGAGCAACGCCGCGUGUGUGAUGAAGGCUUUCGGGUCGUAAAGCACUGUUGUAUGGGAAGAACAGCUAGAAUAGGAAAUGAUUUUAGUUUGACGGUACCAUACCAGAAAGGGACGGCUAAAUACGUG